GUAGGUGAACCUGCGGAAGGAUCAUUAACACGUACGAAAGUACAACCACCAACCGAGCGAACUGUUUUUACCUCCCCGGAUGUCUAAGGAUCGACACAAUGACAAAGGCUUAUCUUUGAAUGGUAAUGGGCAGCCUGACCUGAAGUUAAAUCUUCUUUUCGGUAACUGUUAGCAUGCGUCUUGUGCACUGCGUAGGUCUGCUGUUGUGCUGUGUGUGGCGAGUGUAAAAAGCUUGUCAUAUGUGGUAUGAUGUCUAGCGCCUUGCGACGAUCCCUUCCGGACCCCCGAAAUUAACCAUAUGCCAAUCCACUUGAAUAACCCUUUGAAUUGCAUUUGACUGAUGUUAAAGCUCUACUAUGAAAAUAGUAUGGGUGACUAGAUUUAAUUCUAACUAAGCACAACUCUUAGCAAUGGAUAUCUAGGUUCUC
Molecule: unclassified non-coding RNA, 428 nt
Filed under: rhizosphere metagenome
Description: partial ribosomal RNA internal transcribed spacer region
Source: RNAcentral